This 494-nucleotide ribosomal RNA is filed under the name uncultured organism. Its description in RNAcentral is "bacterial SSU rRNA". It matches the Rfam family "Bacterial small subunit ribosomal RNA", at positions 28 to 507 of the family's 1533-position model. The record is from RNAcentral.
GAUGAACGCUGGCGGCGUGCCUAAUACAUGCAAGUCGUACGCGACUAGAGAGCUUGCUCUUUAGUUGAGUGGCGAACGGGUGAGUAACACGUGGGUAACCUGCCCUAUAGUUGGGAAUACCUAAGGGAAACUUUAGUUAAUACCGAAUAAUGUUAGUGAGAGGCAUCUCUUACUAAAGAAAGCGGCUUUUGCCGCGCUAUUGGAUGGACCUGCGGCGCAUUAGCUAGUUGGUAGGGUAACGGCCUACCAAGGCAAGGAUGCGUAGCCGACCUGAGAGGGUGAUCGGCCACAAUGGGACUGAGACACGGCCCAUACUCCUACGGGAGGCAGCAGUAGGGAGUUUUCGGCAAUGGGGGAAACCCUGACCGAGCAACGCCGCGUGAACGAUGAAGGUCUUCGGAUUGUAAAGUUCUGUUGUAAGGGAGUAAUGGUUUUGAGAGUGGAAUGCUCAAGACUUGAAAGUACCUUACCAGAAAGCCACGGCUAACUACGUG